Molecule: ribosomal RNA, 497 nt
Filed under: uncultured bacterium
Lineage: Bacteria
Description: partial 16S ribosomal RNA
Rfam family: Bacterial small subunit ribosomal RNA
Source: RNAcentral
GAUGAACGCUGGCGGCGUGCCUAAUACAUGCAAGUCGAGCGAACAGAUGAGGAGCUUGCUCCUCUGACGUUAGCGGCGGACGGGUGAGUAACACGUGGAUAACCUACCUAUAAGACUGGGAUAACUUCGGGAAACCGGAGCUAAUACCGGAUAAUAUAUUGAACCGCAUGGUUCAAUAGUGAAAGACGGUUUUGCUGUCACUUAUAGAUGGAUCCGCGCCGCAUUAGCUAGUUGGUAAGGUAACGGCUUACCAAGGCAACGAUGCGUAGCCGACCUGAGAGGGUGAUCGGCCACACUGGAACUGAGACACGGUCCAGACUCCUACGGGAGGCAGCAGUAGGGAAUCGGCCGCAAUGGGCGAAAGCCUGACGGAGCAACGCCGCGUGAGUGAUGAAGGUCUUCGGAUCGUAAAACUCUGUUAUUAGGGAAGAACAAAUGUGUAAGUAACUAUGCACGUCUUGACGGUACCUAAUCAGAAAGCCACGGCUAACUACGUG